This 253-nucleotide ribosomal RNA is filed under the name uncultured bacterium. RNAcentral describes it as "partial 16S ribosomal RNA". It matches the Rfam family "Bacterial small subunit ribosomal RNA", at positions 524 to 776 of the family's 1533-position model. The record is from RNAcentral.
UACGGAGGAUCCAAGCGUUAUCCGGAAUCAUUGGGCUUAAAGGGUCCGUAGGCGGUUUUGUAAGUCAGUGGUGAAAGCCCAUCGCUCAACGGUGGAACGGCCAUUGAUACUGCAAGACUUGAAUUAUUAGGAAGUAACUAGAAUAUGUAGUGUAGCGGUGAAAUGCUUAGAGAUUACAUGGAAUACCAAUUGCGAAGGCAGGUUACUGCUAGUGGAUUGACGCUGAUGGACGAAAGCGUGGGGAGCGAACAGG